This 452-nucleotide long non-coding RNA is filed under the name Calidris pugnax (ruff). RNAcentral's name for it is "lncRNA (ENSCPUG00000019394.1)". The record is from RNAcentral. Lineage: Eukaryota; Metazoa; Chordata; Aves; Charadriiformes; Scolopacidae.
GGGGCUGUUCCCUUUCGUGGCACCCUCAGAGCAGCGGUUCCGCACCGUUUUGGGAAGGUAUGAGGUGAUGCCUUCGGAAAAAGUCUUCGGCCCCGAGAAGAGGAGCGAGGGAGGUUUUUUUCCUGCCGGGUAACAGUGCAGAGGUGGAGGGAGGAGCUGCCGAGGAGCCCGGAAUCAGCAAUAUCCAGCAAAACAGUGGAACUGCCUCAGCGUUUCCCAGCCUUACCCCAGGCAGAUCGAGAUUGUGUUGCAAUUAUGGGGGAAGAUCUAUAUUUAUAGUGUGGAAGGAAUUUGUACAGAAGCCACAGUUGUCUCUGCCUGGCAUGACAUUUUCAUUCUGCACUAAUGUUGUGUAACCUUCUGGUAAGUAAAACAGGCACAAAGUAUAUUUGGGCAUCCUACAGACAAAGCUACAGGUCUUUCUUUGUUGUUUGAAAUAUGGUAACAGUUGC